GUUGAUAUAGCUCAGUGGUAGAGUGUGUGCUUAUCAUGCAUGAGGUCCUGGGUUCAAUCCCCCAUGCCCCCA
RNAcentral lists this transfer RNA (72 nucleotides) under Camelus bactrianus (Bactrian camel). It matches the Rfam family "tRNA". Rfam says of the family: Transfer RNA (tRNA) molecules are approximately 80 nucleotides in length. Their secondary structure includes four short double-helical elements and three loops (D, anti-codon, and T loops). RNAcentral also lists the same sequence under 2 other names. Lineage: Eukaryota; Metazoa; Chordata; Mammalia; Artiodactyla; Camelidae. The record is from Rfam by way of RNAcentral.